CACGCCGUAAACGAUGAGUGCUAGGUGUUGGGGGUCAAACCUCGGUGCCGCAGUUAACACAUUAAGCACUCCGCCUGGGGAGUACGUGCGCAAGCAUGAAACUCAAAGGAAUUGACGGGGACCCGCACAAGCAGCGGAGCAUGUGGUUUAAUUCGAAGCAACGCGAAGAACCUUACCAGGGCUUGACAUGCCCCUGACCGCUCUAGAGAUAGGGCCUUCCCUUCGGGGACAGGGGACACAGGUGG
Molecule: ribosomal RNA, 245 nt
Filed under: uncultured Eubacteriales bacterium
Lineage: Bacteria; Bacillati; Bacillota; Clostridia; Eubacteriales
Description: uncultured Clostridiales bacterium partial 16S ribosomal RNA
Rfam family: Bacterial small subunit ribosomal RNA
Source: RNAcentral